GCCAGACUCCUACGGGAGGCAGCAGUGGGGGAUAUUGCACAAUGGGGGGAACCCUGAUGCAGCGACGCCGCGUGGGUGAAGGAGUAUUUCGGUAUGUAAAGCCCUAUCGGCAGGGAAGAAGCAAGACGGUACCUGACUAAGAAGCCCCGGCUAACUACGUGCCAGCAGCCGCGGUAAUACGUAGGGGGCGAGCGUUAUCCGGAUUCACUGGGUGUAAAGGGAGCGUAGACGGCCAAGCAAGCCAGGGGUGAAAGCCCGGGGCCCAACCCCGGGACUGCCCUUGGAACUGCAUGGCUGGAGUGCGGGAGGGGCAGGCGGAAUUCCUGGUGUAGCGGUGAAAUGCGUAGAUAUCAGGAGGAACACCGGCGGCGAAGGCGGCCUGCUGGACCGCGACUGACGUUGAGGCUCGAAAGCGCGGGUAUCGAACAGGAUUAGAUACCCCCGUA
Molecule: ribosomal RNA, 446 nt
Filed under: uncultured bacterium
Lineage: Bacteria
Description: bacterial SSU rRNA
Rfam family: Bacterial small subunit ribosomal RNA
Source: RNAcentral